This 335-nucleotide ribosomal RNA is filed under the name uncultured Chryseobacterium sp. Its description in RNAcentral is "bacterial SSU rRNA". It matches the Rfam family "Bacterial small subunit ribosomal RNA", at positions 1164 to 1504 of the family's 1533-position model. Lineage: Bacteria; Pseudomonadati; Bacteroidota; Flavobacteriia; Flavobacteriales; Weeksellaceae. The record is from RNAcentral.
GAGAGGAAGGUGGGGAUGACUUCAAAUCAUCACGGCCUUUACGUCUNGGNCCACACACGUGCUACAAUGGCCGGUACAGAGGGCAGCUACUUAGUGAUAGGAUGCAAAUCUCGAACGCCGGUCUCAGUUCGGAUUGGAUGUCUGCAACUCGACUCUAGGAAGCUGGAAUCGUUAGUAAUCGCGCAUCAGCCAUGGCGCGGUGAAUACGCUCCCGGCCUUUGUACACACCGCCCGUCAAGCCAUGGAAGCUGGGGGUACCUGAAGUCGGUGACCGUAAAAGGAGCUGCCUAGGGUAAAACUAGUAACUAGGGCUAAGUCGUAACAAGGUAACCGUA